This is a long non-coding RNA of Lytechinus pictus (painted urchin), 5206 nucleotides long. RefSeq lists it as uncharacterized. The transcript has 3 exons. NCBI's taxonomy places the organism in Eukaryota, Metazoa, Echinodermata, Echinoidea, Temnopleuroida, Toxopneustidae. The record is from RefSeq and is a predicted model, not a curated record.
GGAGGGGCUCGAGUGUAGUUACGAUGUGUUGUCAUGAUUGUUGUUGCAAAGUGAGAUCGUGUUUUUUUCAGUUGAUAUUCGUAUUUUGUUGAGGAUUUGGGAUUAAUUUCUGUGGAUAUUUUGUGCAUUUUGAGAAAAAACAAGUUUUCUGUGAUUUUCCGUUUGAAAAGCCACUUUCCGUUUCAAAAGGCCGAUUCCGUGAAUUCCGUCCGUUUUCCGCGAUCGCGGAAAAUCACUGUCCCUACUUUAUUCAUAGCAGUCUUUUAAAAAUGUGGAGCAAAUUGCGAUACGAUACCAGGAAAAUUAUUCCCUGCCUAGAGAGGGUGCUAGAUACAUGUAUGUUUGAUUUAAAUAUUUAGAUAUUCACAGAUAAUCGGGGUUAGAAAAGAUCAAACGACCAUUACGAGCUUUUAAUAUUGGAAUGUUAGAUGAUACUAAAGUAUAAUUACAUAAUAUUGACUAGCCUUGAGGGGAACAUAAAAUAAAUUGCCUGCAAUAGAACCACUGACAUACAUGUAGAGUUGACUGGCUGGUGGCACCUCCAACCAAGGCUUAGUAAAGUUAGGAUUGUCAUUUUUUCUUUGCUUGCCUUGGGUUAGAAUGAUUUUUCUUCCAAAAAUAACCUAUGAAAGGAUGGCACUUCAUCUUACCACUGUAAUUCUAGGGGCAGAAUAAUAAUUCAUUUGUAAAAUACAGUUUAAAGAAGAUAAAUGAAUGCUCAAACUCUUAGUAUUUCCAUUGAAAUACAUGUUACAUCUUAUUUUUCUAUAAAUGGGGUAAUUUGUUUUUUCUUUACUGUAUAUUACAGGAAUUAAACUGUCAUGGCCAGCAGACUGCGUGAAAAGAAAAGCAGUUCAUCCAUACCUGUAACUAAGUCUGGAGAUUCCUUGCUGAAUAAGAAUGAGGAAAGCAAUCAGAAGAGUGACUCAGGAACAGAGCUUGUAAAAGCAACACCAAGCAGUGCCACCAGGAAUUCCUUUGCGUAAUAUUCUCAAGGUUGUCUGCCAAUGUGUUACCCCCCAACUGUAGUGCGGGUGUUAGCUUUUUUUUGCUGUUUAUUUAUAUUUUUGUUAUGCUGUAUGGCAUUUUGCAUUGUGCUUCUUUUAUUGAAUUGAACCAUAUUAUUGGGUGUUACUGACUUUCAAGUUAAAACUGAAAAUCAUAGGAAGAAACUUUAUCGCUGUCAUUUCAUUUUAAGCUUUUCAUUCAUCCACCCAUUCUUUAAAAACACUCCUAGAACUAACCAUGCAUGCUUUUCCUGUUGAUUAUAUUUGCAACAAUUUUUUUUUAAAUACAGUUCAUUCCUGAAUGUGUUGAGGUCUCUCAGAAAUAAGAAAAAUAACAUCCACUUAAGUAGAUUUAUUGAGUAUUGAAUGCUUAUGAUGAGAGACAGUGAUCUACAUGUAUGAUGCAUGCCUGAAAGAGAUUCAUCCCAUAACAAUCACCAUCAACCUAACAUUGUUAUAUUCCUUGGUCAUUAUUGUUUAAAAAUUUGUGUUUGCACUACACUGAGAUGUUCAUGAAAAAAGUUAAAAACAUAUUUUGCAUGAACUUUUUGGAGCUUGUCUUUGUAUUCUAAUUUGCAUUGACACUGGAGGUUGUUCUUUAGAUUCAGGCUUUUGAAUAAUUCAUAUAGGCAUACAUGUACCUAUUACAGUUCUAUUCCAUUGUCAUGUUUGUGAAUUAUAUUUAAUUUUCAGUCACUAAUAUGUUAUAACUUGCAACAUGUAGUAAGUUGGAUUCUAAUACUCCUACAUGUAGGUAUUACCUGUAAUGAUUCAUUCAUGAAUUUUGCAAUAAUUUGAUUUCUUGAUCUCUUGGCUAAUGUGCUACACUAUUUUGGUACUAAUGUGGCAGGUUUAGGUUUUUAUGUGGCUUGGAUUAUAUUUAACAUGUAGUAUAAACUUUUUUUCAUGCUUUAGUUCUUGUCACACAUUCAAAGAUACAAAUUAAGCUUUCAUGCCUUUUCAUUGACAUUUUACCCAAGAUUUAGCUACUAGACCUUUCACACUAAAAUUCCUUGGUGAUGCUAUUACAAUGUAAACAGAGUAUUUGGAUAAUUUGCUUUUCGACAGAGCUGUUCAGUCAGAGAUUGAAAUCGGAAUAUUGGCAAAAAUUUGGCACCUCACAAAUACUGAACAUGUACAAUGUACAGUACACUGAUAUGUCCCUCAUGUAGAGUAUGUACUUUGCAUUGUUCAAUGAAUACAACAUAUGCUUGAAUUAUAAUCCCUGCAUGUUAGUGUUGGCCAACAAUGACAUUACCACAAUAUUUCUAUUGGCACAUGAUCGUGGUAACACUCUUCAUUGUAAAAUUCUUUGUGUUAAUUUCAUACCUGUAGCUCCAUGCUGUUUUACAAUGUAGGUUUCAUUGUCAUUGUAGAUAUUUCUAAUAUUCAACAUACAAAAUAACUGAAUUAAUUUAAGCCACAAUAAGCAAGAACACUCUAGACUAGAUGUAGCCACUGUAGAUGUAUUGGGUAAUUCAGAUUACUAAUGAUUUAUAAUUGGUAAGUUCAUACACACAAAUAAUAAUACCAGUCAAACUUUGACUGCUAUUAUGUAAUCGCAUUAAUAACCAUAAUACAUGUAUAUGGUUUAUUUCCAAUUGGUCUAUUGCCAAUUCGUCCAAUACCAACUUAUCUACUAUCAUUUGGUCUACCAUCAGUUCGUCCACUAUCCACAUGGUCUAAUUGCCAUUUCGUCCACUGACCGUUGUGUCUAAUAACCAUUUGGUCCAAUAGCCAUUUAGUCCAUAUGCCAUUUGGUCUAAUUUGACUAAGUGUAAAUUGGAUGAAAUGAAUGAAAAGAAAACAAGUGUUAGACCAACUGGUUACGAGAUGAAAUGGUCAUAGAUGAACUGGUGACUAGACGAAGUAAUUAUUGGACUAAGUGGUUAUUGGACCAAUAGCUGUUAGAUGAAAUGUUGAUGGACGGAAUGGCAUUAGACCAAUGAAGGUAGACCAUGUGAUGAGUGGACAAGUUGGCAAUAGACGAAUCGGUAGUUUACCCAUGUACGUGUGCACUGUAUUUAAUUCCAUAAAAUAACUGAUUGAAAUUUUCUGUACAUGUUAUAUUGAAAAGGUAUUAUUUUUCCCUCUUCUUUUAUGUUUUUUUUUCUUUCUGUUCUACAUUGCUCAUCAUGAAAUAGAUAUAUCCAGUCAUUAGAAUAUCUCUUGAAUUUUGCAAAUAUUUCACACAAUUUGAAAUCUUGGUAAAAUAUUUUGAUAAAUAUUCUGUGGCAUGUAUAAUCAUAUUCAGGUGAAUGGAUUAUAAAGAACUAGAAUACAGAAGUUCUUGACUUCUUGAAGGAGUGAUAUUCAAUACGAAUACAUUAUAUAGAUCUCUCACUGGAUAUUGCUGUGGAAAAUCUUGGAGGAUAUGCUUUGUAUAACAUGCAUUCACUGAGGUAAAAAAAAAAAUCUGGUACAUGUAAUUCUGGCCACUAAUCCCCUUUUCAUUUGAAGCAGUGGUGAUGCUCUUCGGGUACAUUUUCAAGUUCUUAUAAUGUAUCUUUGCACUGUACCUGGUGUCUGAGAAAAAGAAAAACAGUGGAUAUUAUGUAAACCUGUACUUUGCUUUCAAAAAAUUGUUUUCCACCACCAAAUUCAAUCAUAUUGGUACAUGUAGUUGAUACAAUGCUGAAUGCAUCAUUCUCUUUAGAAGAAUCUCUAAACUAAAUGAUGCAAUCAAAAGCUCAACAUUUUGAUGACAAACUCAAAAUACAAUGUACACCAUCAUGCCUUUUCUGUCCCCUCUGUCCCCCACUCUGGUAUCUUUUCCGGGUAGGAAUCACAGUAUAGAAUUUGUGUGUGUGUGUUCAUAGUACUGUACAUCAAAGAGGAAUUACAAUGUGAAAGGGAAUGUUUGUUUAUAGUAUAUCUAAUGAGGCAGAUGCUGCACUUUGAAAAAAAAUCAUAUAUUUCUUUCUCUGCUAUUUCUGUUAAGAUUUACAUGUAUGACAUGAACACAUGUCCUGUACUCAUUUUUCUUAAAUUUGUUUCAGAUUCAUUUAGAUCAGCUUACUAAACCUUAUACUUGUUUCAACCUCUAAUGUACCAUUUAUCAAUUUUGAUUUGAUAUUCUAAUCUGAGCUGCUCUAUUUUUAUCUUCAAAUUCCUAUCACUAAAUACAUGGAGGUCUCCUUAACAAUAUGUCUAACACUACAGUGUAAAGAAAAUGUAGGCAUACUGUUGUUUUGAUGGGGGGGGGGGGUAGAUAUAUGGUCUUUGUCCUGGAAACCACUUACAGAUGAUUUAAUAAUGGAAAACAUGAAAUUACAAACUUAAAAAAAUAGAAAUCUUAAUUUGUUAUUUAAGAAAAAAAUCUUAAUAUGCCUUUAUGGCCCGUGCCACUGAUUUAUUCAUAAAUUAUCCCAUUCACUUCCUAUUUUGAUUUUCUCAUCUACUACUGUAUAUUACACAAUUAUCAAGAUUUCAUUUCUGCUGCUGUCUCUCGUUGCUUGGAUACCUUCUUUUCAUCACAGUAAUUCAUUUUCAAUGCCACAUCACAAUUGCAUUUGCCUAUUGUAGGGAUACAUCUACAUGUACAUGUAUAUCGGACUAUAAUACUGCAUUGAUUUGAAAGGCAAUUUUUAGAAUUAAUUCAUAAUUAACUGUACUGCGUCAAAUAUGUGGCCUACAGUGUAUAUGGUCUCUGGUCUUUCCUGUAUCAAAACUAAAACAUUCAUGUAUACAGUAUAGUACAAUUUAUUUCAAUAUUUAACCGAUAUUCCUGAUAAUAAAAUAAGAAAUGGACAAGGGAUGUGUUUUGCACUAAAGUAUAUACCUGAUAGGCCUCUAUGUAAGUGAUACAAGAAAAGUAAUAUAUAGUUUUCUUUCUAACUUGAGUAUUAUGCACCUCUUUUAUUUCCAUUUUUAGAUAAUAAAAUUGGAUUGGUAAACGAGAUACAUCAGUUUUUAUAUUUUUAAAAUUAAAGAUUGUAAAAUCAUUCGAAGUCUCCAUGAACGUGGAAUGUGAUAUCAUCUAGUCUCGCAGUAUCAUAAUUUUCUGAAGCCCUUUGUAUAUCUGACACAAAUCCAAUCAAUCUCUCCUCCUCCCUCUCUCUCUUCCUCUCUCCUUGUCUGAAUUUAGCUCAUAAUCAUUGUAGAUUUUAAAAGUUAAUUCAAUUGAUUUUAUCUUUUUACAUGAUUAUUUCUUUGUAAUCACAAUGAUAAUUUGUUAAUCAUUUGCAGUCUAGUCACAC